AUCUAGCUGACGAGUCCCAAAUAGGACGAGACGCGUGUUUCUGGAU
Molecule: non-coding RNA, 46 nt
Filed under: Schistosoma margrebowiei
Lineage: Eukaryota; Metazoa; Platyhelminthes; Trematoda; Strigeidida; Schistosomatidae
Source: RNAcentral